AGAGUUUGAUCCUGGCUCAGAUUGAACGCUGGCGGCGUGCUUAACACAUGCAAGUCGAUCGGUAACGCGGGGGCAACCCUGGCGACGAGAGGCGGACGGGUGAGGAACGCUUGGGAAUCUGCCUAUCAGCGGGGGACAACCCGGGGAAACCCGGGCUAAUACCGCAUACGCUCUACGGAGGAAAGCCGGGGACCGCAAGGCCUGGCACUGAUAGAUGAGCCCAAGUCGGAUUAGCUAGUUGGCGGGGUAACGGCCCACCAAGGCGACGAUCCGUAGCUGGUCUGAGAGGACGAUCAGCCACACCGGAACUGAGACACGGUCCGGACUCCUACGGGAGGCAGCAGUGGGGAAUAUUGGACAAUGGGCGAAAGCCUGAUCCAGCGACGCCGCGUGGGUGAAGAAGGCCUGCGGGUUGUAAAGCCCUUUCGGUAGGGACGAAAGCUCUCGACCUAACACGUCGGGAGGUUGACUUAACCUACAAAAGAAGCACCGGCUAACUCUGUGCCAGCAGCCGCGGUAAUACAGAGGGUGCGAGCGUUAAUCGGAAUUACUGGGCGUAAAGCGCACGUAGGCGGCUUGGUAUGUCGGUUGUGAAAUCCCCGGGCUCAACCUGGGAACUGCAUCUGAAACUGCCUUGCUAGAGUAUGGGAGAGGGAAGUGGAAUUUCCGGUGUAGCGGUGAAAUGCGUAGAUAUCGGAAGGAACAUCAGUGGCGAAGGCGACUUCCUGGAUCUAAUACUGACGCUCAGGUGCGAAAGCGUGGGGAGCAAACAGGAUUAGAUACUCUGGUAGUCCACGCUCUAAACGAUGACAACUGGAUGUCGGGAGGGUCUGCCUUCCGGUGUCGUAGCUAACGCGUUAAGUUGUCCGUCUGGGAAGUACGGCGCAAGGUUGAAACUCAAAGGAAUUG
Molecule: ribosomal RNA, 909 nt
Filed under: uncultured bacterium
Lineage: Bacteria
Description: bacterial SSU rRNA
Rfam family: Bacterial small subunit ribosomal RNA
Source: RNAcentral